Molecule: long non-coding RNA, 264 nt
Filed under: Elaeis guineensis (African oil palm)
Lineage: Eukaryota; Viridiplantae; Streptophyta; Magnoliopsida; Arecales; Arecaceae
Description: long non-coding RNA (EGUI_LNC066303)
Source: RNAcentral
CCUUCGCAAGAAUGGAUUGCACCACCACUUGUAUACCUUCAUGACCUCUACUAGGACCUCUUUAGAAAUCCUUCUUCAAAAGAUCUCACCACACACAAAUCAAAUUUUAUGUUCACAUGAACAAUCUGAUUUUUGGACAAGCAUCUUAUGCUUUCCAUUUUCUCUCAUCCCUUUCUUUUCAUUUUUCUCUCCCUCUUUUUUUUUCCUUUUUUCCAAAUUUUUUUAUCAUUUAUCUCUCAUUUCCAUGCCUACUUUUAGCCAAAU